GGCCGCAGUCAGCUGUGGAAGCGCACCGGCGCCCCCUCGGGCUCGGGUGGAUCCGGAGCGACGCUCGAGGAAGGGAUUCGGAGCCGCCCGCUCAUUUCCGCGCGGGGAGGGGGGAGGUCCCACCACCGCGCCCGGACCAAGGCGACGCUCUCCGCGGGAGGACAAAUGGGUUUCCGUAGUGUAGUGGUUAUCACGUUCGCCUUACACGCGAAAGGUCCCCGGUUCGAAAUCGGGUGGGAACAGCUCCCUUUCCUUUUCUACGGCUCUCUACGCGACACCCAACAACUUGUUGCCUGCGGUCAGAACGCCUUGUUCGGCAACCUCACUGGUCCGGAGGAGACAGACGCCCGGGGCGUCCGGGAAGGGCGGAGGACUCAACAGAGGACUGGACAGGGGCCCUCGCCGCCAUGAGCUCCCAGACCUGGUCCUCCGGGAGGAAGAGCGAAUGUUUGACUCUCACCGCACCCCAACCCCAGCCGCAGCCCUGAAGCCCUCCCAGCUCGAGGGAGCCGGGCCAUACUGAUCAACGCACUGCACCCUGGACUCAGUGGGCUGAGUUCGAGUCUCUGAGGGCUCAGGGUUUCCGCUGAGUUUCCGUGUUACUUCCCCACUACAGUCUUGAGUCAUCCACAAAGGGCCCUUCUUUCUGCUUCUCAGAGGAAAGGGGAGAACUCCCAAAUGCUGAGGAAGCGGGACCAGUGUCUAGAGGGUAUGCGACAGUCCCGGCCUGAGGAGGUGGCACUGGAGGAAGUUAGUCGGUGGCCUGGGAUGCCGGAGGGACAGCGUCUCCUCGGCUGUGGACGUGGGAGACGCGACCGGCGACAGUAUCCGCGGGGCUUGGACGCGCAGACCGGAGGAACGAGGAAGAAUCCACCUUAAUCAUAAAACACCUUUCGUACGCUGGACUCGAGCACAUCCGGAAGCUGCUCGGCUCUUGCUCUCGGUUCCUUAGCUGGCUGGUCCCAGUUUAAACCUGAACGGGGAAACUGUCCUCAGCUCUUCCGCCAGCAGAUGCGUUUCCAAAAUCCCAUACAUGAUUCUUACACAAAGAAUGAGUCAUUUCUCAAAAUGUCUGUUGAUGUCUUUUAAUGUAUGCUAUGGUUCCAUGUGAAUUCAUGCCAGAAGAAAAGCUUAGAAUACUUAGAGAUUUGUGGGCAGGGGAACUAGCUGAAAACUGGAUUUGGAUCUAUGCAAGGGUUCUCCGCUGCAGUGCCCUGAUGGGGUCUUGAGGCACAGCAGACACAGGUGACACUGCGUCGGGACGCAGAUGGAGAAUGCACACACACGUGCGAGAGGAAACGAUUUCUUGCAAGACACACUAGGAAGGGCUGUGUGCCCAAGGAGAUGUGAGGAGUUCCCAGAAGACGGGGCAGUGUCCCGGAGGGAGCCAGUGGAAGGAUGCGGAGGCUGCAGCGUGUACGUCCGGGUCCUUUGGCCGCAGAAGUCCUCCCAAGCAGGGUGGAGAGCUCAGCUGGGUGAGAAUUCUCCGAGGUGAGGAACUGCAGGUUGAAAGACAGCACUACAGUACACAAAUCCCUGGAAUCACAGGCCCCAAAAGACUGUCCACCAGCAACGUAGGAUGAAGCGGCUGAGCGGUUAAGGCGAUGCACUGCUGAUCCAUUGUGCUGUGCACACGUGGGUAGAGCUUCCUCCUUUCAGAGGGUUGCCUUUCCCUUUUCUUACAGGUCUGGAAAUCACCACUUCGUGCUUUCCCGCUUUCUCUCCCCCAAAUCUGAGGGGAGUUAGUCCAACUCAGCAAAUCUAAAUUAUAGAUUUACUGCUUCCGGCCCGGACCACCACAGGCAGAGGAUUCCCCUCCUGUGGGGUCUGGGCUUGGUCUGGGCCUCUCUCCAAGCAAAGACAGCAGUUUGCAAAUCACCUUCCUCUCCUUUCACUCCACACCAAGUAAUUGUUCUUGUCACAACAGAGUGCUUUCCUAUCUCUUGUCCUCAUUUGCUUUAAAAUACUAGUUGGUAUGGAAGAGUAAUAGAGGUAACAACAUUGACCAGAUAGUGCUACUCUUUCCUAGGCUGGCUGAUAGGAAUUGAGUGUUCACACUAUUCUUUUCACUUUUUCAAAUUCUCAUUAAAAAGCUUUGAAACUUUUUAUUUGAAAGUUAAUUUCAAACUUAUGAGAAAUAUGCAAGAAUAACAGUACAAAGAUAUAUAUGAAUAUAUGUAGAGAAUAAAUAGGCA
This is a long non-coding RNA of Fukomys damarensis (Damara mole-rat), 2195 nucleotides long. The record is from Ensembl. Lineage: Eukaryota; Metazoa; Chordata; Mammalia; Rodentia; Bathyergidae.